Eimeria mitis is the source of this 192-nucleotide non-coding RNA. Lineage: Eukaryota; Apicomplexa; Conoidasida; Eucoccidiorida; Eimeriidae. The record is from Rfam.
AUACCUUCUCGGCCUUUUGGCUAUGAUCAAGUGUAGUAUCUGUUCUUAUCAGUGUGACAACUGAUAUGGAUCCAACUGGAUCCAAAAUGUCACAAAAAUUUUUGUUAGGGGAAGGUGAAUCCUAGAGCUUGCUCUUGUUCCCUUCAAGCGUUGCCUGGCCCUCACACACUCGGCCUGAGCGGCGCACCCAUC